RNA transcript from Zingiber officinale, 2176 nucleotides. It is a transcript of the gene named 30S ribosomal protein S9, mitochondrial-like, with no coding region annotated. The transcript is spliced from 8 exons. Lineage: Eukaryota; Viridiplantae; Streptophyta; Magnoliopsida; Zingiberales; Zingiberaceae. The record is from RefSeq and is a predicted model, not a curated record.
ACCGGAUUGGGCAGAUUUCUGGCAUCCCGACCCGAUUACACACAACUGAGGAAGUUGGCACCUGUAGGACAAAACCUAACCUAAUUACCCCGCCCACACUGCUUCUGUUUCGUCCCAAACAAGCACCGACUCCACCACCAUCACCACCACCGCCGCCGCCGCCGCCGCCGCCGCCGCCUCCUUCCUUCAACACCUCCUCCUCGUCCCGAUCAAUCGAAUCCCCGUCGCGAUUUCCUGGAGAAGUCUUUCCCACUUCACUCUUUGCUUCCAAUUUGUUCCAGCCCUCUGAACCCUAAUAUUUCACGCGUCAGGACUCGAGCAUCGCAGCAGACGCAGCCUCUUCGCUAAAGAUGCUCUCCCGCUCUGCCUCUUUUCGCCAGCCUCUUCGCUUCCUUGCUCUCACUGCUGUAGCUUCCUUCCACCCUUGCUGCAUCUCACCUCCGCCUCCACCUCCGCCUCUGUCUUUUCCUCGUCUCCCCUGUCCUCUGUUCCCUCCGUCCAAUUCCGCUUUCUUUCAAUACUCUAAGGCAUUCUCUAGCGGGAGUCGCGACGAUGGCGGCGACUGGAAAUUAACCCCCGAGGAGGACGAGGGUGGUUUCGUUUUUCCGGACGAGGGCGACCUUGCAGGGAUUUCUGAUGACGCCCCGAGACCCUCCGGAACAGAGGCGAUCAACACUGGAGCCGGAAUCAUGGAUCAGUGGGAAAAGGGCUACGGGACAGUUGAUAAAGGGGAUAUUUUUGAUGGCCUCGAUGGAGAGACUCUGGCUAACGAGAACGGGCUUGGAGGAUUAGGCGUGGAGGAAUGGGAGACGGCUGAGGGAUACAAGCCAUGGUCAUUGGGCGACGAUGAUGAAAAAUUGAGCCUGUUCAAUGAUGGUGAUGGAGGGGUAGUCCACGGCGGCGUUGAUGAUUUAGAGAAGUCUAGUGAUGAGCAGAAGCAGCAACUUGAGAAGCGAGAGAAAGAGCUGUUAGAUAUUCUGGAAGGUCCGAAACAUGCAUUUGGAGAUCUCACUGAAGCAUCAGGGAUCACAGAUGAUAUGAUUGAUAGUUUGAUUAUAUUGAAGGAUGUAACGGGUGUUCCAGGAUUACCUCCUCUUAAGGAAAUACAAGAGGAAGCAAUUGCAAAGAUGAAUGCAACAUCAACAAGAACUGAAAUUGAGCGUAAGAAACAAGAGGAGAUUGCAAAAUCUAGAGUUCGUCAGGUGGAUGAAAAGGGUAGAGCAUAUGGAACAGGGAGAAGGAAAUGCAGCGUAGCUCGUGUAUGGAUUAAACCCGGUGAUGGGACGUUCAUUGUAAAUGACAAGCAGUUUGAUGUUUAUUUUCCCAUUCUUGAUCAUCGAGCAGAACUUCUCAGACCUUUCACUGUCACAAAAACUCUCGGUCUCUGGGACGUAAAUUGCACUGUUAAAGGGGGUGGGGUUUCUGGUCAAGUUGGAGCCAUCCGCUUGGGAAUCAGCAGAGCAUUGCAAUGUUGGGAACCAGGCCUUCGACCUUACCUAAAAGCUGCUGGUUAUUUAACACGUGAUCCACGCGUAGUUGAACGAAAGAAGCCUGGCAAAGCUAAAGCAAGGAAGAGCUUUCAAUGGGUUAAACGGUAGAAGCCUCAAUGAUGUCUGGCUGUGUUUGGUCGGAACUUGAACUCUAUUUUGGCAUUGGGAUCAAUCAUGUCCUGCACAACAUUUGCAAGCUCCAACAUGGUGAAGUCUCCAGGGUUCCCUAGGUUGAAUGGACCGGUGUGUUCUCCUUCCGUCAACUUCACUAGUCCUCUGCCUGUAAUAUUUCUCAGCUAAAAGGCCUACUCGAUGCUGACAACUACGUACACUGGGAUCGGAUCUUCUCACAGCCGUCACCAGCUACUUUCUCCGAUCAUAAACUGAAAUCUUGAAAGGCCAUGGAGAAAGCAGCAGUAGCAGUUCUGGAGGCUUGCGGAAAAGAGGCCUUUGUCCCAUCUACACCAUCCUUGGCUUAAAUUUGAUGUAGAAAGAACCUACUGAUAUGCCAUUAUAAUUAAUUGACUCUCGCCGACUGCUCAUUGCUCAACCAUUUAUUAGUUAUCUGUAGCUGCUGGAGUGCUUAAUUUUCAUGUUCUAGGUGAAGAAUAGUUUCAUAUUAAUUAACAUCCACUGAAUGAUGUUAUUCUUACUUAGCCUAAUUAUGAUAUGAUAAAUUUAAGUAA